UACAGAGGUCCCAAGCGUUGUUCGGAUUCACUGGGCGUAAAGGGUGCGUAGGUGGCCAGGUAAGUUUGGUGUGAAAGCUCGGAGCUUAACUCCGAAAAGUCAUUGAAUACUAUCUGGCUGGAGGGUCGGAGGGGAGACUGGAAUUCUCGGUGUAGCAGUGAAAUGCGUAGAUAUCGAGAGGAACACCAGUGGCGAAGGCGGCUACCUGGACUAACACUGACACUGAGGCGCGAAAGCUAGGGGAGCAAACAGG
Molecule: ribosomal RNA, 253 nt
Filed under: uncultured prokaryote
Description: partial 16S ribosomal RNA
Rfam family: Bacterial small subunit ribosomal RNA
Source: RNAcentral